GACGAACGCUGGCGGCGUGCUUAAAACAUGCAAGUCGAACGGACUUCUCAUGAAGCUUGCGAUUGAGAAGUUAGUGGCGGACGGGUGAGUAACGCGUGGGCAACCUGCCCCUGAGCCCGGGAUAACAGUUCGAAAGGACUGCUAAGACCGGAUAUACUUGCGGUGAAGCAUUUCACUGCAAGGAAAGGGAACGCUCAGGGAUGGGCCCGCGUCCCAUUAGCUAGUUGGUGAGGUAACGGCCCACCAAGGCGACGAUGGGUAGCCGGCCUGAGAGGGUGAACGGCCACACUGGGACUGAGACACGGCCCAGACUCCUACGGGAGGCAGCAGUUGGGAAUCUUCGGCAAUGGGCGCAAGCCUGACCGAGCAACGCCGCGUGAGUGAUGAAGGUUUUCGGAUUGUAAAGCUCUGUCUUCCGGGACGAUAAUGACGGUACCGGAGGAGGAAGCCAACGGCUAACUACGUG
Molecule: ribosomal RNA, 466 nt
Filed under: uncultured bacterium
Lineage: Bacteria
Description: bacterial SSU rRNA
Rfam family: Bacterial small subunit ribosomal RNA
Source: RNAcentral